RNAcentral lists this unclassified non-coding RNA (344 nucleotides) under Hevea brasiliensis (rubber tree). Lineage: Eukaryota; Viridiplantae; Streptophyta; Magnoliopsida; Malpighiales; Euphorbiaceae. The record is from RNAcentral.
AGAUGUAAAGGAUAUCAGUCAACAGAGUAAUAAUGAUUCAUUAAUCUGCAAUAAUUUUCCACAAGAUCCAGAUUUCUUGUUCGACCAACAUGCAUGCUUAUGAAGUAAGCUCUACGUUUUCAACCAUAACUCUCCCACCUACUCUCCAUUAAACGUUUUAUAACAAAGAAGCAGAUCCACAUGAAAUCUUCUUACUUAAAGUUUGACAAGACCUCCCAACCAACAAGAUCAACCAACUUUCUACUCCAGAGAACGGAAGAAUAGUGGGCUAAAAUGGCCCAAUUUUCCACAUUAGAGAUCUAUAAUGAUGCCCACAAGAAGAGAAGCAUACAAUGAAUUGAAAA